UACGGAGGGUGCAAGCGUUAUCCGGAUUCACUGGGUUUAAAGGGUGCGUAGGUGGGUCUGUAAGUCAGUGGUGAAAUCUCCGUGCUUAACAUGGAAACUGCCAUUGAUACUAUAGAUCUUGAAUUUUCUGGAGGUAAGCGGAAUAUGUCAUGUAGCGGUGAAAUGCUUAGAUAUGACAUAGAACACCAAUUGCGAAGGCAGCUUACUACGGGAACAUUGACACUGAGGCACGAAAGCGUGGGGAUCAAACAGG
Molecule: ribosomal RNA, 253 nt
Filed under: uncultured bacterium
Lineage: Bacteria
Description: partial 16S ribosomal RNA
Rfam family: Bacterial small subunit ribosomal RNA
Source: RNAcentral